AGCGAACGCUGGCGGCAGGCUUAACACAUGCAAGUCGAACGGUCCUUCGGGAUAGUGGCGGACGGGUGAGUAACACGUGGGAACGUACCCUUAGGUUCGGAACAACACAGGGAAACUUGUGCUAAUACCGGAUAAGCCCUUCGGGGGAAAGAUUUAUCGCCUUUGGAGCGGCCCGCGUCUGAUUAGCUGGUUGGUGAGGUAAUGGCUCACCAAGGCUACGAUCAGUAGCUGGUCUGAGAGGAUGGCCAGCCACACUGGGACUGAGACACGGCCCAGACUCCUACGGGAGGCAGCAGUGGUGAAUCUUGCGCAAUGGGCGAAAGCCUGACGCAGCCAUGCCGCGUGGAUUAUGAAGGUCUUAGGAUUGUAAAAUCCUUUCACCGGGGACGAUAAUGACGGUACCCGGAGAAGAAGCCCCGGCUAACUUCGUGCCAGCCGCCGCAGUAA
Molecule: ribosomal RNA, 447 nt
Filed under: uncultured bacterium
Lineage: Bacteria
Description: partial 16S ribosomal RNA
Rfam family: Bacterial small subunit ribosomal RNA
Source: RNAcentral